GAUGAACUGAGGGUAGCGGAGAAAUUCCAAUCGAACCUGGAGAUAGCUGGUUCUCUCCGAAAUAGCUUUAGGGCUAGCCUCAAGUGAUGAUUAUUGGAGGUAGAGCACUGUUUGGACGAGGGGCCCCUCUCGGGUUACCGAAUUCAGACAAACUCCGAAUGCCAAUUAAUUUAACUUGGGAGUCAGAACAUGGGUGAUAAGGUCCGUGUUCGAAAGGGAAACAGCCCAGACCACCAGCUAAGGUCCCAAAAUAUAUGUUAAGUGGAAAAGGAUGUGGCGUUGCCCAGACAACUAGGAUGUUGGCUUAGAAGCAGCCAUCAUUUAAAGAGUGCGUAAUAGCUCACUAGUCGAGUGACACUGCGCCGAAAAUGUACCGGGGCUAAACAUAUUACCGAAGCUGUGGAUUGUCCUUUGGACAAUGGUAGGAGAGCGUUCUAAGGGCGUUGAAGCAUGAUCGUAAGGACAUGUGGAGCGCUUAGAAGUGAGAAUGCCGGUGUGAGUAGCGAAAGACGGGUGAGAAUCCCGUCCACCGAUUGACUAAGGUUUCCAGAGGAAGGCUCGUCCGCUCUGGGUUAGUCGGGUCCUAAGCUGAGGCCGACAGGCGUAGGCGAUGGAUAACAGGUUGAUAUUCCUGUACCACCUAUAAUCGUUUUAAUCGAUGGGGGGACGCAGUAGGAUAGGCGAAGCGUGCGAUUGGAUUGCACGUCUAA
RNAcentral lists this ribosomal RNA (710 nucleotides) under Staphylococcus aureus. RNAcentral's name for it is "partial 23S ribosomal RNA". It matches the Rfam family "Bacterial large subunit ribosomal RNA", at positions 803 to 1515 of the family's 2925-position model. Lineage: Bacteria; Bacillati; Bacillota; Bacilli; Caryophanales; Staphylococcaceae. The record is from RNAcentral.